AAUCCAUCGAACCCCCGACUUCACGAGGGAGCCGUAAUUAGCAUAACGGAAGAUUUGGAUACGUCUCCAAAGCAAAGAGUGGCGUCUGUUACUCUGGUUCAGCUCCUCCGUUUCCUCUGGGUCAAUUGCGCGUUGACAUGCCAGAGAAACAUAAUUUAAUCACAAUCAAUCAAGUUUUUGUUUCUCUUCUGACGUCGAGCUGCUGGAACGCUCGGAGGUCGGAAGUUACUAAUUUUAACCGGGAAAUUCCCGCCUCGGUCCCGACGCCGCGGUCGCCGUGAUUCAUGGUUUGGCGUCACUCAUUUUAUGUCCGUUUGUGUAUCAAAUAAACACAAUUCAGUUGCCAGAAUAAAUGUUGGCAAUGUGUCGCUGCACGCAACAGACAUGUUAGAAACUUUACGUAGUAAUCACUGGAUAAACCUCGUUCAGGUGUUCCCAACACGGCACACAACAUCCCAUCAAAGAUCUGCUCUUUGGAUGCCACUAACAAGGCUGGAGAAGCUCCUGAUAUCUCUUUAAAAAUAUCCACUGGUGUCGUCACAGUCACAGCGGUGAAUCGUCCCAAUAUCUCAUCGAAAAUAUCCGCUUUGGAUGUCUUCAACGCUGCUGGGAAAUAUCCAGUGGUUUCACGCAAACAGGUGUUGGAAGUGCGUAUCGAACGGUGGUCUCUCGCUUCCUCACAUGAAAGUACGUAACUCAACACUUCACUUGAUGACUUGAUGCAACUUAAAUCACAGAAAUGUUGAUAGCAUAUGCUGGCGAGCUGCUUCCUGCUGCUUUUAGUCUUUAUGCUAAGCUAAGCUAACUGUUUCCUGGCCCUCGCUCCACACUUAACGUUCACAUGAGAGUCCAUCAUUUACAUUAAAGUUGUUUUUUUUUCCAAGUUGGUCGAAGAUGUUUUGUAACUUCCACGUUGGACUGCGUUCGUCAUCCGACAACGCAGAAGUCUGUGACGUUAAAACUGUGACUCAGUAGGCAAAGAUAUGAUGCAACAGGUCUCGUAAAUUCUCCAUUUUUUUUUUUUUUUUUUUGCUCCUUGUCUUCUCACGUCGGUUUUCUGACUCCUCGAGUCAACACAACACAGAAUUACAGUGGAACAUCUGCAGUAAACAGUCUUGAUUUAUCUGUAUACAACAAGCAACCAGGCCUAAGCACAACAAAAGAUUAGCAGUGACUCUGAAAGGCUCACAGAACUUUUUUUUUUUAAACUUCUGAUUGCAAUGUUUGUCCUUCGUCUUGUUGUUCAUGUUCCCUGCCUGAGUGCUGAGCCGUCCAGUCAUGUGAGUGUGUUUCACUGCUGCUGCGGACGUCACUUUCAGCCAACAAUGAGCGUCAGUCCCUUCGAUUCAAAAAAAAAAAAAAAAAGUUUAAAGAAUCCAUCUGAGAAACGAAAAUAAAUCAACUCUUAUAAAGCACUUUACUGAGAGACCCGGAGGCUUCCCGCACUGGCUCUCAGGUAGCCAUUAAAAAACUUCAGGACAUAAACAUGUUCCAGCAAUAUUCCAGUAAACAGCGGAAACGUGCAAUGAGUCACCGCAUGCAACAGCGGAGAGGAGAUAACACACACACACACACACACACACACACACACACAAACACACGCCUGAUGUCACAUGACCCCCCGUCCUGGUAGUUUCCAUUAUAACAAGCCUGAGGACAAACCACUCUGGAGCAACUAUUAUACUUAAAGACUCACAGUGUGUUUGUGGUUGAAAAGAAAAAAAAAUCUAAUUAAUAGUGACUUCAUUUCUUUGUGGUGUUUUUAUCUUCCACUGUAUCAUCGUUAUUCCUCAUGCAUGCUUCGUAUUCCUGCAGGGACGGGACUUACACGGGAAGUACAUGUUGUAACGUGGCUGUGUUUAAGUUUCUGCAAGUUUUUAUCUGCAAUAUCUUUCUUUUUCUGGUCGAGGUGGCGAAAUCCUGCACUUGAGACGGCUAGUGGACGAGAGACCAGCGUUUGAGACCACCUCAGCUGAAAAAAUCCAAAACUGAUAUUUUUGACGUGACGUCGGGACAAUUUCCAGCUACAUCUGUGGCGACACAGUCAGAGGUCAGAGCAGCAGCUCACAGUGGACUGGAUGCACGUAUGUCUCCCCCUCCUUCCUCCGUCGCCGGGUCUCACCUGCUCCUGCGUCCUGGACUCAGAGUCGUCCUCACGUGUCGAUGGCGACCUGUCGUCUUCUUACAGUUUGCUGCGAUAAAGCGGAGCUCCCGUCUGUGAGUGUGAGUCUGCAAAGAGUUAAACGCUACUCGUGUUCCCGGUUCCUUAUCCACUCACACCAAAUACUUAAUCCCUCCCCUCCCUCCCCUCCUCACCCAGCCACCCUCUUACUCUUUCUUCUUUGUAUUAUACUCUUUUCUUUCAUCUCCUCCUUACUUUUUACCCUACCUUGUUUCUACCAUCCUUUCUUCCUUCCGUCUGCCAAUAUUUCCUCUCCUCUUCUUCUCUUUAUACUUUUUGCCUUGUUUUUACAUUUUCUCUUCCCUUUUUCCUUCCCCCUCUUUUUUAAGUUUGACUUCAUCUCAAUGAGAAGCUUGUAGAAACUGUAAACCUGCAUGAGACAUCUACGUUUGUAUUGUGAAGAUACCGACAGAAGAGAGGCCGGGACACGAGAGGGAGAGAGAGAUGCAACUAAUGAUUAUUCUCACGAUGAAUCGAUUAUUGUUUGGUCCAUAAAACGUAAAAAUUGUGAGAAAUGCUCACCAUAAUUGCCUCGAGACCAAAGUGAUGUCAUCAAAAUUGCUGCUUUUGUUCAACAAACAGCAAAACUCUUAAUUUCCUGGCAAAGAAAAGUAGAAAAUCCUCACAUUUAAGAAGCUGCAACGAGCAAAUGUUUAAUAUUUUGGCCCGAACUGAAAUAAAUAUUAAUGAUUAUAAUUUAAAGCUCCCCAGCUGGAGUUGAAGCAGAGGAGCUGUGAUUUGUGUCAGGACGUCUUUAUUCUCAUGCAAAAGUUAAAUUAUAAAGCAAAAACAAGAACAAAAAAAACAAUUUCCAUGUUUUGGGACUGUAAAACACAACAAUAAAGAUUUCCCCUGAUAAA
Acanthopagrus latus (yellowfin seabream) is the source of this 3042-nucleotide long non-coding RNA. RefSeq lists it as uncharacterized. Lineage: Eukaryota; Metazoa; Chordata; Actinopteri; Spariformes; Sparidae. The transcript has 2 exons. The record is from RefSeq and is a predicted model, not a curated record.